GGAAGAAUGGCGGAAUUGGUAUACGCGCCGCACUCAAACUGCGGUGGCCGCAAGGCUGUAUGGGUUCGAGUCCCAUUUCUUCCACCA
RNAcentral lists this transfer RNA (87 nucleotides) under Bacteroides sp. Its description in RNAcentral is "tRNA-Leu". It matches the Rfam family "tRNA". Rfam says of the family: Transfer RNA (tRNA) molecules are approximately 80 nucleotides in length. Lineage: Bacteria; Pseudomonadati; Bacteroidota; Bacteroidia; Bacteroidales; Bacteroidaceae. The record is from RNAcentral.